GUGGCUGACUCCAGCUAUUCCUUCGACUCUUGGAGAAUGUGCACUGAAAGUCAACAAAAUGAAUAGUAAAACCAAUUUAGUUUUGUAUCUCGCUAUAGUCACGCACAGCACUUACUUGUAGUUAGCGAAUUCGUCUUUCAAGAGGGCCACAUAAUUGGCAGGGAUCAGUCCGGACUCCAGGGACCCCGUCAGCUUCUUGGCGAACACAUAAUCUCCCCUCUUUUCUAUGACUGACAGUUUGUCCCCUUCCUUCACCGACAGCUCUUCCUCACUGCGGGCUACAAAGUCGAACAGAGCCGCGUACAGCUGCGCGGGCUUCUUCUUGGGCGCCGGGACCCGGAUAUCACCUGAAACGGUACGAAUGUCGUCCGGACGAUGGAGGUUCGGAUAGUUUUCGGGCCAUAUGCUGUCCCAUAACCGCUUCAGGCAUGGCAUACAGCAGCGACAGCACGUCUCCAUCCCAGCGCGCUCUCUCCACGGACUCCAGCGUAGCCAGAAUAUUUGGCCGCCGUCCACCGAGCGAAACGGGUUGAGAGCAAAAUUAAAGAGGCGUGUGGGUCUCUCACCGAGGGUGACCGACUGACUCUGUACCAGGAUCGCCUUUGUUGAGCUAAAGCACGGGCUGCUGCGAUCAUAGCGGAGGAUCAGGUGAAACCGGUUCUGCUUCAGGAUGGAUCAAGGUAUGCGGAAAAGACAUGCUGGAUUGUUCAACGAGACUUGAAGACGAUGAGAGGAUGGAUGUGGUGGUUGGAGAACAUGCUCUCUUCAUCUGCAUCUGUCCAUGGCGUCCCUCUUCUGCCCUAUAAUGAGCGGUGCAGUGCGCCGCAGUGUUUGGUGCCGCUCUUCUCUCCGCUCCGGAGCAAAACGCUUCGCAGUACGUAAACUUGGCGGAGAGCGACGCUUCGCUCCUGUAGUGCGAUCAUCUGUUCACUGGAAAGCAAGCGCCGCACACUUGAGCUGGCAAAAGCAGCGUGUGUUUAUUUUUAGAUCCACUCAUUAAACGUAGGCUCUGCAAUUAUUAAAAUACACCUCCCUUCUGUAAGAGGAAUAUUUGCGUGCACAUCAGAUGCAUCAGGGGAAUCGUGCAAGAGAGAAAUAACACUGUUCGUGUUCACGUUAUUAUUACUGUACAUGACGGGGACUUUCAUUGAACGUGCACAUAUUGGCUCCUUUUAAAACCACUACCCGAAAAUAAUGGAGGUGACGUCAUGCUUGUAUUAAACUCCUCUGGAGCUGUUUGUCCCUAAAAGACAUUGAAAGCAAAACAGCUAUAAGGAUGUGUACGAUUUUGGAAUCAUUUUUUAUACGAAUUUCUUUAAAUUUAUACGUCCCCUGUAAUUAAAACAUAUAAUCUCCAUUGAUUUGAUGUAAAAAUAAUGUAAGUACUGUAUUCCUCAAUAUUUUGUAUGCUAUUGUUGUUAUACAAUAAAACAUCUUUGCAGCUGUUUGUUCCUUAGGCUACUUUUGUUUUAAUUUUAUUUACUUAUUUAGCUGUUGUUGUACAUAUUGCUUUGUUCAUUUAACAAAUAAAAAAUAGCUGAUUUGGGGAA
RNAcentral lists this long non-coding RNA (1550 nucleotides) under Danio rerio (zebrafish). RNAcentral describes it as "lncRNA (ENSDARG00000097013.2)". The record is from RNAcentral. Lineage: Eukaryota; Metazoa; Chordata; Actinopteri; Cypriniformes; Danionidae.